Molecule: ribosomal RNA, 468 nt
Filed under: uncultured bacterium
Lineage: Bacteria
Description: partial 16S ribosomal RNA
Rfam family: Bacterial small subunit ribosomal RNA
Source: RNAcentral
GACGAACGCUGGCGGCGUGCUUAACACAUGCAAGUCGAACGGAAAGGCCCUGCUUUUGUGGGGUGCUCGAGUGGCGAGCGGGUGAGUAACACGUGAGUAACCUGCCCUUGACUUUGGGAUAACUUCAGGAAACUGGGGCUAAUACAGGAUAGGAGCUCCUGCUGCAGGGUGGGGGUUGGAAAGUUUCGGCGGUUGGGGAUGGACUCGCGGCUUAUCAGCUUGUUGGUGGGGUAGUGGCUUACCAAGGCUUUGACGGGUAGCCGGCCUGAGAGGGUGACCGGCCACCUUGGGACUGAGAUACGGCCCAGACUCCUACGGGAGGCAGCAGUGGGGAAUAUUGCACAAUGGGCGGAAGCCUGAUGCAGCAACGCCGCGUGCGGGAUGACGGCCUUCGGGUUGUAAACCGCUUUCGCCUGUGACGAAGCGUGAGUGACGGUAAUGGGUAAAGAAGCACCGGCUAACUACGUG